UAGUUUGAUUCUGGCUCAGGAUGAACGCUGGCGGCAUGCCUAAUACAUGCAAGUCGAACGGAGUGAAGCCUUCGGGUUUCAUUCAGUGGCGAACGGGUGAGUAAUACGCAGGGAACCUGGCCAUGGCAGGGGGAUACACUCUGGAAACGGAGCAUAAGACCCCAUAGGCAGUAAGGCGGCAUCGCCUUACUGUUAAAGAAAGCUGAAAGGCUUUGGCGAUGGAUGGACCUGCGGUGCAUUAGCUUGUUGGUGAGGCAACGGCUUACCAAGGCGAUGAUGCAUAGCCGGCCUGAGAGGGCGGACGGCCACACUGGGACUGAGACACGGCCCAGACUCCUGCGGGAGGCAGCAGUAGGGAAUUUUCGUCAAUGGGCGCAAGCCUGAACGAGCAAUGCCGCGUGAGUGAGGAAGGUCUUCGGACUGUAAAGCUCUGUUGCCGGGGAAAAAGGGGAAAUGCAGGAAAUGGCAUUUCAUGGAUGGUACCCGGCCAGAAAGCCACGGCUAACUAUGUGCCAGCAGCCGCGGUAAUACGUAGGUGGCGAGCGUUAUCCGGAAUGAUUGGGCGUAAAGGGUGCGCAGGCGGUCUGUUAAGUCUGAAGGCAAAGGGAUGAGCUCAACUCAUUUAUGAUUCAGAAACUGGCAGACUUGAGGACAGGAGAGGGCGGUGGAACUCCAUGUGUAGCGGUAAAAUGCGCAGAGAUAUGGAAGAACACCAGUGGCGAAGGCGGCCGCCUGGCCUGUGACUGACGCUGAGGCACGAAAGCGUGGGGAGCAAAUAGGAUUAGAUACCCUAGUAGUCCACGCCGUAAACGAUGAGGAGCAGGUGUUGGGAGUGAAAUCUCAGUGCCGAAGCCAACGCAGUGACUCCUCCGCCUGGGGAGUAUGCACGCAAGUGUGAAACUCAAAGGAAUUGACGGGGGCCCGCACAAGCGGUGGAGUAUGUGGUUUAAUUCGAAGCAACGCGAAGAACCUUACCAGGUUUUGACAUCGGAUGCGAAGGCGCAGAGAUGCGCUGGAGGCUAUCAUCCAGACAGGUGGUGCAUGGUUGUCGUCAGCUCGUGUCGUGAGAUGUUCAGUUAAGUCUGGCAACGAGCGCAACCCCCGUGGUAUGUUACUAACGCUUUAGGGCGAGGACUCAUAUCAGACUGCCGGUGACAAACCGGAGGAAGGCGGGGAUGACGUCAAAUCAUCAUGCCCCUUAUGACCUGGGCUACACACGUACUACAAUGGCGUCUACAGAGGGAAGCGACCCUGAGAAGGGAAGCGAAACCGGAAAAGGGCGUCCCAGUUCGGAUUGAAGUCUGCAACCCGACUUCAUGAAGAUGGAAUCGCUAGUAAUCGCGGAUCAGCAUGCCGCGGUGAAUACGUUCCCGGGCCUUGUACACACCGCCCGUCAAACCAUGGAAGCCGGCAACGCCCGAAGCCGGUGGCAUAACCUUUUAGGAGUGAGCCGUCGAAGGCGGGGCCGAUGACUGGGGUUAAGUUGUAACAAGGUACCC
RNAcentral lists this ribosomal RNA (1499 nucleotides) under uncultured bacterium. RNAcentral's name for it is "bacterial SSU rRNA". It matches the Rfam family "Bacterial small subunit ribosomal RNA". The record is from RNAcentral.